AAGCGUUUUCUUGGGCUCGCGGCCGGUAGAAGUUCUUUGGAACAGGACAUCAUAGAGGGUGACAAUCCCGUCCGUGACCGGUCGUGCGUUCAUCUACGAUACGCUUUCAAAGAGUCGAGUUGUUUGGGAUUGCAGCUCCAAAUGGGUGGUAAACAUCACCUAAGGCUAAAUAUUGGCGAGAGACCGAUAGCGAACAAGUACCGUGAGGGAAAGAUGAAAAGAACUUUGAAAAGAGAGUUAAACAGUACGUGAAAUUGUUGAAAGGGAAACGAUUGAAGUCAGUCGUGCUGGCGCGAAAUCAACCAUCUCGUCUUGAGGUCGCAUGGCGCGACGAGCCUCAAAACCGUCACGAAGCGUGAACUCUUGACGAAAAGGUGCACUUUCGUGUCCGCUGGUUAACAUCAAUUUCGAUCGUCAUAAAAAGGCUGGAGGGAUGUGGCUCCUUCGGGAGUGUUAUAACCUUUAGCGGAAUGUGGUGUUCGGGAUUGAGGAUUGCAACGAAUACCUUCAGGGCUGUUCCACCUGGCUUCUCAUUGGUAUCCUGGUGACGACAGCUUGC
RNAcentral lists this ribosomal RNA (559 nucleotides) under uncultured Glomus. Its description in RNAcentral is "partial large subunit ribosomal RNA". It matches the Rfam family "Eukaryotic large subunit ribosomal RNA", at positions 156 to 637 of the family's 3401-position model. Lineage: Eukaryota; Fungi; Glomeromycota; Glomeromycetes; Glomerales; Glomeraceae. The record is from RNAcentral.